CCUACGGGGGGCACCAGUGGGGGAUCUUGGACAAUGGGCGAAAGCCCGAUCCAGCAAUAUCGCGUGAGUGAAGAAGGGCAAUGCCGCUUGUAAAGCUCUUUCGUCGAGUGCGCGAUCAUGACAGGACUCGAGGAAGAAGCCCCGGCUAACUCCGUGCCAGCAGCCGCGGUUAGACGGGGGGGGCAUGUGUUCUUCGGAAUGACUGGGCGUAAAGGGUACGUAGGCGGUGAAUCGGGUUGAAAGUGAAAGUCGCCAAAAACUGGCGGAAGACUCUCGAAACCGAUUCACUUGAGUGAGACAGAGGAGAGUGGAAUUUCGUGUGUAGGGGUGAAAUCCGGAGAUCUACGAAGGAACGCCAAAAGCGAAGGCAGCUCUCUGGGUCCCUACCGACGCUGGAGUGCGAAAGCAUGGGGAGCGAACGGGAUUAGAUACCCGUGUAGUC
RNAcentral lists this ribosomal RNA (442 nucleotides) under uncultured bacterium. RNAcentral's name for it is "bacterial SSU rRNA". It matches the Rfam family "Bacterial small subunit ribosomal RNA", at positions 338 to 795 of the family's 1533-position model. The record is from RNAcentral.